RNAcentral lists this long non-coding RNA (229 nucleotides) under Elaeis guineensis (African oil palm). RNAcentral describes it as "long non-coding RNA (EGUI_LNC016367)". Lineage: Eukaryota; Viridiplantae; Streptophyta; Magnoliopsida; Arecales; Arecaceae. The record is from RNAcentral.
CCAACGCGAAACCAACGCGAAACCAAAAGACAACCAAUGGAUCGGGCGGUACCUAGACGGGGGACCAGGCUCAAGCCAGCAUCGUAGAGGGCUUGUUCGGUAACAAGCUCCCUCUGCUUCGGUACCGACAUAUCUUUGAGUUGGUGGAAAUCCUCCUGGUUGUCCGCUUCCACUCGGCUGUUCUCGUUCGCCUCGGUCCGAGGCACGCCCCAGCAAGAAGGAAAACCCC